This 253-nucleotide ribosomal RNA is filed under the name uncultured bacterium. RNAcentral describes it as "partial 16S ribosomal RNA". It matches the Rfam family "Bacterial small subunit ribosomal RNA", at positions 524 to 776 of the family's 1533-position model. The record is from RNAcentral.
UACGUAGGGAGCAAGCGUUGUCCGGAAUCAUUGGGCGUAAAGCGCGCGUAGGUGGCCCCAUAAGUCCGCUGUGAAAGUCAAAGGCUCAACCUUUGAAAGCCGGUGGAUACUGUGGGACUAGAGUACGGAAGAGGCGAGUGGAAUUCCUGGUGUAGCGGUGGAAUGCGCAGAUAUCAGGAGGAGCACCAAUAGCGAAGGCAGCUCGCUGGGACGUUACUGACACUGAGGCGCGAAAGCGUGGGGAGCGAACAGG